UCCUUGGACUUAACUUGCUUCAUUGCCCCAAAAGAGAUGAGCUUUUGGGCAGAGCAGAGAAAAAUCUUUUCUGUUUCAGGUUCUUCUGGGAAGAACAAAAAGCAAACAUUAUCCAGCAUAAAAGGACCUGAGAACCAAAACCAUACUCACAUGAGCUUUCACUCCCGCUACAAAGCAUCUUGGCUAUGCUCAGCUAAGGCAGCCACAGCUGGAAGACUGGGGAACUUCAAAACUCCUGCUUUAAUCAGAGCCCUUACAAGGAGAAGAGAGCAGAAGGUGUCAAAGUAAAACAGCUGCAUAUCUUCCAAGAAAAGCUCGUGUUUUCCAAAGGAAUUCAAGCGGAGGUGCUUUAUUAAGAGAAC
Molecule: long non-coding RNA, 362 nt
Filed under: Accipiter nisus (Eurasian sparrowhawk)
Lineage: Eukaryota; Metazoa; Chordata; Aves; Accipitriformes; Accipitridae
Description: lncRNA (ENSANIG00000008729.1)
Source: RNAcentral